AGCAGGAGCUGGAUUAGUCCUUACCUACUUGCAGUCCUCAUCUGUGUUUAGAUGAGACAGUGAUUAAAAUUUUCUCAGACAUGUCUGUACAGGAGGACAGCUGAAAAUUUAAGACCAAUUUCCUAAAAUUCAUUGACAGCUAGGAGAAGUGGCUGACAUACCAGAAGGCUGUGCUGCAUUUCAGCAAGACCUGGACAGGCUGGAGAAUUAGGUGGAGAGGAAUGUGAUGAGAUUCAACAAGGGCAAGUGUAGUGUCCUUCACCUGGGAACAAAUAACUGCACACAUCAGCACAGGUCAGGGGCUGACCUGGUGGAAAGGAGCUCUGCAGAGAAGGACCUGGGUGUGUUGGUGGACAACAGGAUGACCAUGAGCUAGCAGUGGCCAAGAUGUCACAUUUUCUUACCUGGAGGACGGAACCACUGAAGUUGCUGGUGAAGUGACCAUCAAUGAAAGUAGAGGCAGGAGGAGCAAAUAUAAACAUGAUGUACAAACUGAAGAAACCUGGUCAUCAGCUGGCAAUUUCAGCUCAAAGGAACAUCUGAUUCCUAAAGUUACAGAACUUGUCUGAAAGAUUUGUUUGAAAAAGAGAAUGAACUACUCAAUGUCCCAGUUUAUAUGAUUAUAUGUUAUAGCUGGAGCAGACCGCAGCACAGAAGUAUGAAACACUACAGGUGAUAAUUGAAGGACAUUCUGGGGAGGAGGAGAAGGUACCUGGGGGAUCCAAAACAUGGAGUGCAGCUCCCCAGGGAGCCCACAUGGAGCACUGGAAGAAUCAGUAACCUGAGGAGAGAAACUCACUGCACACAAUGAAUGAUAACCUAUACUCAACAGUGUGAAAGAGCAAGAGAAAAGAUGGGGUUCAAAGUGCAACUCUACAAGAAGGGCAAGCUUCCAGCCUGAUAUGGCAGCAAGACAUCUCUCACUCAGGAUCUGCAAAAGCAACCUUCCCUGGUGUCAGGAUAUGAACAACCUUUCCUCAGCAUACCCAGGGGCUACCCUGCUCUCCUCAGCCUUGCAUGCUUCUAGGUGUAGCCAAAACUCUGCUUUGUGUAAACAGUAUACGUCAUUCAGUGUGUAACGGCACUUGUGCUUUAGGGUAGUAUCUUGCCUAGCCUCCAUCUGAAGGUAUGAACCUCCUCUGUUCCUGUGCCACAUGUCCCAGCCUCAUUCAGGUGUUUCAUGUCCCACCCAACUUGUAGAAACAGCAAGUUACUUGGGAUAGAAAUAUACAUGUGUUCAAGCAACUACGCAGAAUCAGUAGAUAGUUGAAAACAGUAGCAGUAGUCUCUUUUUGCCUCAGCUCCCCAUCUUCAGAACGGUGGUUAAAAUGCAUUAGUUAAUUCUUGAGAACCAUGGAUACACAGCAGUAAAAGCCCUGCAGGAUCCCAAAGAAAGGUACAAGUAGAAUCAUAGAGUCACAGAAUUGCUCAGGUUGGAAAAGACCUUAAAGAUCAUCAAGUCCAACUACAACCGAACCAUACAAUGCUAACUCUAACAACCCUCCACUAAAUCAUGUCCCUAAGCACCACAUCCAAACGGUUUUUAAACACAUCCAAGGAUGGUGACUCAACCACCUCCCUGGGGAGCCUAUUCCAGUGCUUAACAACCCUUUCUGUAAGGAAGUUUUUUCUGAUAUCCAACCUAAACCUACCCUGGUGCAACUUGAGGCCAUUUCUCCUCAUCCUGUCACCUAUGAGAUCAACUCCACUCUUGCUGUACGCACCUUUCAGAUACUGGAAGAGAGCAAUAAGGUCUCCCCUCAGCCUCCUCUUUCCCAGACUAAACAGCCCUAGUUCCCUCAGUCGUUCCCCGUAGGGCAUAUUCUCCAAGCCCUUCACAAGCUUUAUGGCCCUUGUUUGGACCUGCUGCAGCACCUCAGUGUCCUUUCUGUAUUGAAGUGCCCAAAACUGAACACAGAACUCAAGGUGAGGCCUCACCAAUGCUGAGUACAGGGGCAGGAUUUCUUUCCUAGUCCUGCUCACCACACUAUUCCUGAUACAAGCUAGGAUGCCAUUGGCCUUCUUGGCCACCUGGGCACACUGCUGGCUCAUAUUCAGCUGACUAUCCAUCAGUACACCAAGGCCCCUUUCUGUCAGGCAGAUUUCCAGCCACUCACUCCCAAGCCUGUAGGGUUGCCUGGGAUUGUUGUGACCAAAAUGCAGGACCCAACACGUGGCCCUUUUGAAACUCAUACAGUUCACCUUGGCCCAUCAAUCCAGUCUAUCCAGGUCUCUCUGUAGUGCCUUUCUCCCCUCUGGCAGAUCAACACUCCCUCCCAACCUGAUGUCAUCUGCAAACUUACUGAGGGUGCACUCAAUCUCCUCAUCAAGAUCAUUAAUAAAGAUGUUAAAUAGAAGCGGCCCCAGUAAAUUCUGUAUCUAUUCUAAGUGUUAUAUGAUAUACGUUAAAUAAUAACUUGAUCUGCACAUUGAGUGGAGGCUGAAAGGGAUCCCUGAGAAGCAGCUCACUCACUGAAAAAGGCAGGAUUCUGAGAGAAGAGGAAGGUGUGAUCAUCUAACUAAGAAACGUAUAAUUAUCUCUACACAAAUUGGGGCUGAACUUCAAGCUUAAAAGUAAUCUCAGUUCUAGUAUCUCUUAACUUUUCCUUGCAUAAUUUUGCAGCUUCAGUGUCUUUUGCAAAACGUGUUUCAGUUCCCUCCUGAGAGUAAGACCUGAACAUACUGGGGGGUAGCACUUUUGUCCCACACAGCCACUCCAACUACAAUGUGUGGGAAGCAGAGCCUGGUUCUCCAGUGCUUCAGCUCAGAAACCUUCCACUUGA
This is a long non-coding RNA of Gallus gallus (chicken), 2783 nucleotides long. The record is from Ensembl. NCBI's taxonomy places the organism in Eukaryota, Metazoa, Chordata, Aves, Galliformes, Phasianidae.